UACAUGGGGUGCAAACGUUGCUCGGAAUUAUUGGGCGUAAAGCGCACGUAGGCGGUUCGUUAAGUCGGAUGUGAAAGCCCUCGGCUCAACUGAGGAAGUGCACCCGAAACUGGCGAGCUUGAGUACGAAAGAGGAUCGCGGAAUUCCCGGUGUAGCAGUGAAAUGCGUAGAUAUCGUGAGGAACACCAGAGGCGAAGGCGGCUACCUGGACAAUUGCUGACGCUCAGGCAACGAAAGCCGUGGGGAGCAAAAGGG
Molecule: ribosomal RNA, 255 nt
Filed under: uncultured bacterium
Lineage: Bacteria
Description: partial 16S ribosomal RNA
Rfam family: Bacterial small subunit ribosomal RNA
Source: RNAcentral